This 2878-nucleotide ribosomal RNA is filed under the name Stenotrophomonas maltophilia. RNAcentral describes it as "23S ribosomal RNA". It matches the Rfam family "Bacterial large subunit ribosomal RNA". Lineage: Bacteria; Pseudomonadati; Pseudomonadota; Gammaproteobacteria; Lysobacterales; Lysobacteraceae. The record is from RNAcentral.
GGUCAAGCGAAUAAGCGCACACGGUGGAUGCCUUGGCGGUCAGAGGCGAUGAAGGACGUGGCAGCCUGCGAAAAGUAUCGGGGAGCUGGCAACAAGCUUUGAUCCGGUAAUGUCCGAAUGGGGAAACCCACCCGCUUGCGGGUAUCCUGCAGUGAAUACAUAGCUGCUGGAAGCGAACCUGGUGAACUGAAAUAUCUAAGUAACCAGAGGAAAAGAAAUCAACCGAGAUUCCGUAAGUAGCGACGAGCGAACGCGGACUAGCCCUUAAGCUGGAUUGGUUCUAGGAAAACGCUCUGGAAAGAGCGGCCAUAGAAGGUGAUAGCCCUGUAUCUGAAAGGGCCAUUCCAGUGAAGACGAGUAGGGCGGGGCACGUGAAACCCUGUCUGAACAUGGGGGGACCAUCCUCCAAGGCUAAAUACUACUGACCGACCGAUAGUGAACCAGUACCGUGAGGGAAAGGCGAAAAGAACCCCGGAGAGGGGAGUGAAAUAGAACCUGAAACCGUGUGCGUACAAGCAGUAGGAGCUCCGCAAGGAGUGACUGCGUACCUUUUGUAUAAUGGGUCAGCGACUUACUGUUCGUGGCAAGCUUAACCGUAUAGGGGAGGCGAAGGGAAACCGAGUCUGAUAAGGGCGCAUAGUCGCGGGCAGUAGACCCGAAACCGGGUGAUCUAGUCAUGCCCAGGGUGAAGGUGCGGUAACACGCACUGGAGGCCCGAACCCACUCCCGUUGCAAAGGUAGGGGAUGAGGUGUGAUUAGGAGUGAAAAGCUAAUCGAACCCGGAGAUAGCUGGUUCUCCUCGAAAGCUAUUUAGGUAGCGCCUCAUAUGUAUCCUCUCGGGGGUAGAGCACUGUUAUGGCUAGGGGGUCAUCGCGACUUACCAAACCAUUGCAAACUCCGAAUACCGAGACGGACUGUAUGGGAGACACACGGCGGGUGCUAACGUCCGUCGUGAAAAGGGAAACAACCCAGACCCACAGCUAAGGUCCCAAAUUCACUGCUAAGUGGAAAACCAUGUGGAAAGGCACAGACAGCCAGGAGGUUGGCUUAGAAGCAGCCACCCUUUAAAGAAAGCGUAAUAGCUCACUGGUCGAGUCGGUCUGCGGGGAAGAUUUAACGGGGCUAAGCAGUGAACCGAAGCUUGGGGUGCAUACUUUGUAUGCGCGGUAGAGGAGCGUUCCGUAAGCCGUUGAAGGUGGAUUGAGAAGUCUGCUGGAGGUAUCGGAAGUGCGAAUGCUGACAUGAGUAACGAUAAUGCGGGUGAAAAACCCGCACGCCGAAAGCCCAAGGUUUCCUUGCGCAACGUUAAUCGGCGCAGGGUGAGUCGGCCCCUAAGGCGAGGACGAAAGUCGUAGUCGAUGGGAAGCAGGUUAAUAUUCCUGCACCUCGCGUAAGUGCGAUGGAGGGACGGAGAAGGUUAGGUGUACCAGGCGUUGGUUGUCCUGGGGAAAGGCGGUAGGUUUGGAUCUUUGGCAAAUCCGGGAUCCUUUAAGACCGAGCACCGAGACGAGCCUUUAUGGCGAAGUCACUGAUACCACGCUUCCAGGAAAAGCUCCUAAGCUUCAGCUUACGCAGACCGUACCGUAAACCGACACAGGUGGGUAGGAUGAGAAUUCUCAGGCGCUUGAGAGAACUCGGGUGAAGGAACUAGGCAACAUGGCACCGUAACUUCGGGAGAAGGUGCACCCUUUUUGGUGGCUCGUGCGAGCUAUAGCUGAAGAGGGUCGCAGUAACCAGGCCGCUGCGACUGUUUAUCAAAAACACAGCACUCUGCAAACACGAAAGUGGACGUAUAGGGUGUGACGCCUGCCCGGUGCUGGAAGGUUAAUUGAUGGGGUCAGCCGCAAGGCGAAGCUCUUGAUCGAAGCCCCAGUAAACGGCGGCCGUAACUAUAACGGUCCUAAGGUAGCGAAAUUCCUUGUCGGGUAAGUUCCGACCUGCACGAAUGGCGUAACGACAGCGGCGCUGUCUCCACCCGAGACUCAGUGAAAUUGAAAUCGCUGUGAAGAUGCAGCGUUCCCGUGGCAAGACGGAAAGACCCCGUGAACCUUUACUAUAGCUUUACACUGAACGUUGAGUUCGUCUGUGUAGGAUAGGUGGGAGGCUAUGAAACUGUGGCGCUAGCUGCAGCGGAGCCAUCCUUGAAAUACCACCCUGUCGUGCUUGACGUUCUAACCUGGGCCCAUUAUCUGGGUCGGGGACCGUGUAUGGUGGGUAGUUUGACUGGGGCGGUCUCCUCCUAAAGAGUAACGGAGGAGCUCGAAGGUACGCUCAGCGCGGUCGGACAUCGCGCACUGUGUGCAAAGGCAUAAGCGUGCUUGACUGCAAGAUCGACGGAUCAAGCAGGUAGGAAACUAGGACUUAGUGAUCCGGUGGUUCUGUAUGGAAGGGCCAUCGCUCAACGGAUAAAAGGUACUCCGGGGAUAACAGGCUGAUACCGCCCAAGAGUUCAUAUCGACGGCGGUGUUUGGCACCUCGAUGUCGGCUCAUCACAUCCUGGGGCUGUAGUCGGUCCCAAGGGUAUGGCUGUUCGCCAUUUAAAGUGGUACGCGAGCUGGGUUCAGAACGUCGUGAGACAGUUCGGUCCCUAUCUGCCAUGGGCGUUGGAGAUUUGAGAGGGGCUGCUCCUAGUACGAGAGGACCGGAGUGGACGAACCUCUGGUGUUCCGGUUGUCACGCCAGUGGCAUUGCCGGGUAGCUAUGUUCGGAAGCGAUAACCGCUGAAAGCAUCUAAGCGGGAAGCGCGCCUCAAGAUGAGAUCUCCCGGGGCACAAGCCCCCUGAAGGAACCAUGUAGACUACGUGGUUGAUAGGUCAGGUGUGUAAGUACAGCAAUGUAUUGAGCUAACUGAUACUAAUGAUCCGUGCGGCUUGACCAU